NNNCUUUGGCAGCACAUAUAUUAAAACUGUAAUGAUACAGAGGAGAUUAGUAUGAUCCAAGCACAGAAAUGACAUACAAAUUGGUGAAGUGUUCUGUAUAAAC
This 103-nucleotide small nuclear RNA is filed under the name Procavia capensis (Cape rock hyrax). The record is from RNAcentral. Lineage: Eukaryota; Metazoa; Chordata; Mammalia; Hyracoidea; Procaviidae.